RNAcentral lists this ribosomal RNA (406 nucleotides) under uncultured bacterium. RNAcentral describes it as "partial 16S ribosomal RNA". It matches the Rfam family "Bacterial small subunit ribosomal RNA", at positions 30 to 526 of the family's 1533-position model. The record is from RNAcentral.
AUUGAACGCUGGCGGCAGGCCUAACACAUGCAAGUCGAACGACUGGCGGACGGGUGAGUAAUGUCUGUGAAACUGCCCGAUGGAGGGGGAUAACGACUGGAAACGGUAGCUAAUACUGCAUACCACCGAAUGUGCCCAGAUGGGAUUAGCUAGUAGGGGGGGUAACGGCUCACCCAGGCGACGAUCCCUAGCUGGUCUGAGAGGAUGACCAGCCACACUGGAACUGAGACACGGUCCAGACUCCUACGGGAGGCAGCAGUGGGGAAUAUUGCACAAUGGGCGCAAGCCUGAUGCAGCCAUGCCGCGUGUGUGAAGAAGGCCUUCGGGUUGUAAAGCACUUUCAGCGAGGAGGCGUUACUCGCAGAAGAAGCACCGGCUAACUCCGUGCCAGCAGCCGCGGUAAUAC